Molecule: transfer RNA, 76 nt
Filed under: Escherichia coli
Lineage: Bacteria; Pseudomonadati; Pseudomonadota; Gammaproteobacteria; Enterobacterales; Enterobacteriaceae
Also listed under: 8 other names
Description: tRNA-Trp
Rfam family: tRNA
About the family: Transfer RNA (tRNA) molecules are approximately 80 nucleotides in length.
Source: RNAcentral
GGGGGUAUGGCGCAAUUGGUAGCGCACCGGUCUCCAAAACCGAAGGUUCGAGGUUUGAAACCUCGUGCCCCCGCCA